GGUGUGUGUCCAACAGAAAGGUUUUGUGAAGACUACAGGUUAGAGAGAAGGGGUUGUAACUGCUGGGAUUCUCUGGAGGAUUGGUUUGAAAGAGGUGUGUGUCCAACAGAAAGGUUUUGUGAAGACUACAGGUUAGAGAGAAGGGGUUGUAACUGCUGGGAUUCUCUGGAGGAUUGGUUUGAAAGAGGUGUGUGUCCAACAGAAAGGUUUUGUGAAGACUACAGGUUAGAGAGAAGGGGUUGUAACUGCUGGGAUUCUCUGGAGGAUUGGUUUGAAAGAGGUGUGUGUCCAACAGAAAGGUUUUGUGAAGACUACAGGUUAGAGAGAUGGGGUUGUAACUGCUGGGAUUCUCUGGAGGAUUG
Molecule: long non-coding RNA, 362 nt
Organism: Oncorhynchus keta (chum salmon)
Lineage: Eukaryota; Metazoa; Chordata; Actinopteri; Salmoniformes; Salmonidae
Exons: 3
Source: RefSeq, a predicted model, not a curated record